RNAcentral lists this ribosomal RNA (460 nucleotides) under uncultured bacterium. Its description in RNAcentral is "partial 16S ribosomal RNA". It matches the Rfam family "Bacterial small subunit ribosomal RNA", at positions 338 to 795 of the family's 1533-position model. The record is from RNAcentral.
CCUACGGGUGGCAGCAGUGAGGAAUAUUGGUCAAUGGGCGCGAGCCUGAACCAGCCAAGUAGCGUGAAGGAUGACUGCCCUACGGGUUGUAAACUUCUUUUAUAAAGGAAUAAAGUGAGGCACGUGUGCCUUUUUGUAUGUACUUUAUGAAUAAGGUUCGGCUAACUCCGUGCCAGCAGCCGGGGUAAUACGGAGGAUCCGACCGUUUUCCGGAUUGAGUGGGUUUAAGGGGAGCGUAGAUGGGUUGUUAAGUCAGUUGUGAAAGUUUGCGGCGAAACCGUAAAAUUGCAAUUGAUACUGGCAGCCUUGAGUACAGAUGAGGUAGGCGGAAUUCGUGGUGUAGCGGUGAAAUGCUUAGAUAUCACGAAGAACUCCGAUUGCGAAGGCAGCCUACUAAACUGCCACUGACAUUGAUGCUCGAAAGUGUGGGUAUCAAACAGGAUUAGAUACCCGGGUAGUC